AGAGUUUGAUCAUGGCUCAGGACGAACGCUGGCGGCAUGGAUUAGGCAUGCAAGUCGAACGAAAAGCAGGAGCUUGCUCCUGUGGACGAGUGGCGAAAGGGUGAGUAACGCGUGAGUAACCUGCCCUCAAGUUGGGGAUAACCUUUGGAAACGAAGGCUAAUACCGAAUGUGAAUAGUUUUCCGCAUGGAUUUCUAUUUAAAAAUUUAUUGCUUGAGGAUGGGCUCGCGUACCAUUAGCUAGUUGGUGUGGUAACGGCAUACCAAGGCUACGAUGGUUAGGUGGAUUGAGAGAUCGGUCACCCACACUGGGACUGAGACACUGCCCAGACUCCUACGGGAGGCAGC
Molecule: ribosomal RNA, 346 nt
Filed under: uncultured bacterium
Lineage: Bacteria
Description: bacterial SSU rRNA
Rfam family: Bacterial small subunit ribosomal RNA
Source: RNAcentral